GGAAAGUGGAGCCAACCCAUCUUCCAUGGAUAUCCUAUACAGUAUGUCAUCGUCUGCAUAAAUCCUUGAAUUUCAGGUAGAAACCUACCAUUAAUAAACGUGCAUUUGACUGGUAGUAAAAUGUGACGUUUGCUUGUAUAAAUUCAGAGGCUACAUCUGCAAAUUUACUCACAACUUCCCAUAGACUGAACACAAAGAUAUACUGUUAUUAGAGAUAAGAAGAUGCACAACCCUCCACCACCAGAUCCCCACCAUCACCACCACCCACCACCACAACAAGCACCGCCUCCGGGUCCUCCGCACCAUGAACCUCCUCCUCCUAGCCAUGCUCCUCCACCGGGUUCCCAGGCGCCUCCACCAGGUCCUCCUGAGCCACGCAAACCUGGACCACCUCAUCAUCACCAUCCUUAAUUGAUUAUAAAAUAAUGGAUGGUUUUAGCACACAUGGAGGCGCAUAAUAGAGCAUAUAUGUGUAUAUGUAUACAUAUGCAUGGUGUUGAAGCCACUUAAUUUCUACUUUUUGCAUAUAUAUGCUACUGGGGCUGGCUAGCUCACAUGCCAGGUCCUGAUUAAUGUAUGCUGUUUGUUAUGUUAAAUAAUUAUAAUAAAAUGGGUAGCAUUUUAA
RNAcentral lists this unclassified non-coding RNA (625 nucleotides) under Hevea brasiliensis (rubber tree). Lineage: Eukaryota; Viridiplantae; Streptophyta; Magnoliopsida; Malpighiales; Euphorbiaceae. The record is from RNAcentral.